This 605-nucleotide ribosomal RNA is filed under the name uncultured bacterium. Its description in RNAcentral is "bacterial SSU rRNA". It matches the Rfam family "Bacterial small subunit ribosomal RNA", at positions 29 to 666 of the family's 1533-position model. The record is from RNAcentral.
AGUAACGCUGGCGGCAUGCUCACACAUGCAAGUUGAACGAGGUUUAAGUCUUAUUAAACUUAAACAAGUAGCGGACGGAGUAACGCGUAAGAACCUACCUUUAAGUAAGGAAUAACUAUUGGAAACGAUAGAUAAUACCUUAUAAGCUUAUAGUAAAAGAUAAAAUCGCCUAAGGAUGGGCUUGCGUCUGAUUAGCUUGGUUGGUGAUUUAAAAGAUUCACCAAGGCAACGAUCAGUAGUUGGUCUAAGAGGAUGAUCAACCACACUGGGACUGAGACACGGCCCAGACCUCUACGGAGGGCAGCAGUGAGGAAUUUUCCGCAAUGGGCGAAAGCCUGACGGAGCAAUGCCGCGUGGAGGAUGAAAGCUUGUGAGUCGUAAACUCCUGUUCUUAGUGAAGAAAUAAGACGGUAUCUAAGGAAUAAGCAUCGGCUAACUCCGUGCCAGCAGCCGCGGUAAUACGGAGGAUGCAAACGUUAUUCGGAAUUAUUGGGCGUAAAGCGUCUGUAAGAGGAUAUAUAAAUCUACUGUUGAAUAUUAAGGAUUAAGCUUUAAAAAGCGGUAUGAAACUUAAAAAAUUGGAAUUUAAGUAGAAGGUAGAGGGA